This 892-nucleotide long non-coding RNA is filed under the name Bemisia tabaci. RNAcentral describes it as "lncRNA ENSSSA3NGG002584". The stretch from base 405 to 450 matches the Rfam family "Histone 3' UTR stem-loop". The record is from RNAcentral. Lineage: Eukaryota; Metazoa; Arthropoda; Insecta; Hemiptera; Aleyrodidae.
UAGGACUCAUGCCCUCCUUAGCAUCAUUCUCGUAUCAAUACUUGAAGCAGCACAAUCAUGACUGGACGUGGUAAAGGAGGAAAAGGUCUCGGAAAGGGAGGAGCUAAGCGUCACCGUAAGGUGCUCCGCGAUAACAUCCAGGGAAUCACCAAGCCCGCCAUCCGUCGUCUGGCCCGCCGAGGAGGAGUCAAGCGUAUCUCUGGACUAAUCUACGAAGAAACCCGUGGUGUCCUCAAGGUUUUCCUGGAAAAUGUCAUCCGUGAUGCCGUCACCUACACCGAGCACGCCAAGAGGAAGACUGUCACAGCCAUGGACGUCGUCUACGCCUUGAAACGUCAGGGCCGCACCCUCUACGGUUUCGGAGGUUAAUUUACUUCCUGCCGUUGCCGCACUACCGUCUCUUUAAAACGGCCCUUUUCAGGGCCACCACAUAUACGAGCUUCUCAUCUUACCCACCCCACCACCCUCCACCAUGGAACCUAUUAAGGUGGAUCUACAGUUUUUUUUGUUUAGAAAUUUCUCCGCCCAGGGGACGCCACCGUCGAUGUCCGUUUUCGUCAAAUUUCUGCAGUCAAAGCUGAAUUUUGAAGAAACUGAGCCUUUAUUUCAAAAUCGGAAAAUUUCAUGCUGUACCAAAAUUGGCUCUUGCUGGGUUGCGGAGCUCUCUUUCAUCAAGGUCCCACAUUUUACCUUAACACUGGUUACUGGUGUCUAUACCUUGCCGGACACACCAAUCAUAUUUGCUGUAUCUCACUCCAGAUGGAACGCUCCUGAACACUUUAAAACGAAAGGCUACUGCUUGCAAUACCUUCUCUCUAAAUAUGACAGUGUGAUGAUAGAUGAUUUCGCCGCUUCUUUUGUGAAGCAGUCAGAUGCACACUCUCCGUCAUAG